Molecule: ribosomal RNA, 143 nt
Filed under: Bacillus cereus
Lineage: Bacteria; Bacillati; Bacillota; Bacilli; Caryophanales; Bacillaceae
Description: partial 16S ribosomal RNA
Rfam family: Bacterial small subunit ribosomal RNA
Source: RNAcentral
ACCACGAGAGUUUGUAACACCCGAAGUCGGUGGGGUAACCUUUUUGGAGCCAGCCGCCUAAGGUGGGACAGAUGAUUGGGGUGAAGUCGUAACAAGGUAGCCGUAUCGGAAGGUGCGGCUGGAUCACCUCCUUUCUAUGGAGA